GAUGGCCAUGUCACCUUGAAACACCAGUUCUAAUCUGCUCAGCUAAGUUAACCAAUGUCAAGCUUGGUCAGUACCUAGAUGGGUGACUACUUGGGAAUACCAGAUGCUGUAA
Non-coding RNA from Acanthosepion pharaonis, 112 nucleotides. NCBI's taxonomy places the organism in Eukaryota, Metazoa, Mollusca, Cephalopoda, Sepiida, Sepiidae. The record is from the annotation of a GenBank genome assembly.